GUGAGUCAUCGAAUCUUUGAACGCACAUUGCGCCUCUCGCAAGGGAGGCAUGCCUGUCUGAGCGUCAUUUAAAUCAUAAACCCCUAUGGGUUUGUCAUGGGCCUCGCCUUCCUGGCGUUGCCUUAAAGCCAUUUUUGGUCUAAAAAGCGGACGAGAUCCUUUAGGACUGACCGUUUGGUGACCCGAAAACCUUUGACUUGACCUCAGAUCAGGUAGGACUACCGCCUGAACUUAAGCAUAUCAAUAAGCGGAGGA
This 255-nucleotide unclassified non-coding RNA is filed under the name Archaeorhizomyces sp. Its description in RNAcentral is "partial contains 5.8S ribosomal RNA, internal transcribed spacer 2, and large subunit ribosomal RNA". The stretch from base 1 to 67 matches the Rfam family "5.8S ribosomal RNA", at positions 84 to 154 of the family's 154-position model. Lineage: Eukaryota; Fungi; Ascomycota; Archaeorhizomycetes; Archaeorhizomycetales; Archaeorhizomycetaceae. The record is from RNAcentral.